Nymphalis io (European peacock) is the source of this 434-nucleotide long non-coding RNA. RefSeq lists it as uncharacterized. The record is from RefSeq and is a predicted model, not a curated record. Lineage: Eukaryota; Metazoa; Arthropoda; Insecta; Lepidoptera; Nymphalidae. The transcript is spliced from 3 exons.
CUUCUAAAUCUAUCCAUCUCUCUCUAAUUUCGCGAUAUUCAUCCUUCAAUAAAAUAAAGCAAUAGUGAAAAGUGAUAAAAAAAUUAGUGAUAUUUUACGAUUGUUAUCAAUUUAUUUCAGUUAUUAGUGUUAGUUACGUAACAGAUUAAGAAAACGAACUGUUACCGUUUAAAAAAGAACUUUAUUUAACGUUAAAAUAUUUGUAAACAACGAUCGCACUGUGAUAAAGUAAAUCGACGAGAGAAUUAUAAAAAAAACAUGUUCGCGCGUUAAUUGUUGCCAUAUUCAAAAAUCGAAUGUGUUUCCAUUUGGAAAAUGUCGCAAGAAUCGACGAUGACGAAGAAUUUUUUGACCGUGACCAAUAUUGUUAACGAAGGUUUCAAAGGCGCCAAGAUCUCCCAGCUCGGGCUGUCCAAGUAUCUUUCGCAAUCACU